AUGCAGGGAGAAAUGAUGAAGACUAUGAUGGUACUCGAUGAUGAGUUCGAAAGGGGAACAAGCCCCAUGUAGUUUUUGUACAACGAGUUGGCUCGAGCUACGAAUAAUUUUGAUGAAGGAGAGAAGCUUGGAGAGGGAGGAUUUGGUGGAGUCUAUAGAGGAUUCAUCAAAGACUUGAACACAUAUGUUGCUGUUAAGAGGAUCUCCAAGGGAUCCAAACAAGGGAUAAAGGAGUACACAGCCGAAGUCAGGAUCAUCGGUCGACUUAGGCAUCGAAACCUUGUGCAACUCAUUGGUUGAUGUCACGAAAACGGAGAUCUCCUUCUUGUGUAUGAGCUCAUGCCCCAUGGCAGUUUAGAUUCUUAUUUGUUCAAAGCUGAAAGCUUCUUAAAUUGGGAGGUAAGAUACAAAAUCGCUCUUGGCUUGGCCAGCGGUGUGCUUUAUCUACAUGAAGGAUGUGAACAGUGUAUACUGCACAGGGAUAUCAAAGCAAGCAAUGUUAUGUUGGAUUUGAAUUUCAACGUAAAGCUUGGAGAUCGACUUCGGAUUAGCUAGACUUGUAGAGCACAAAAAAGGGUCGCUAACGACGAUUGUCGCUGGAACAAAGGGCUACAUGGCUCUUGAUUAUGUUGUCACAGGCAAGGCUAGCAAGGAGUCGGAUGUGUAUAGCUUCGGAGUUGUUGCUUUGGAAAUAGCUUGCGGGAGAAAAUCCAUGGAUUUCGAUUUGGAAAAUAGUAUGAUCAACUUAGUGGAGUGGGUGUGGGAACUUUAUGGAGAAGGGAAACUUAUUGCAGCAGCUGACCCAAAAUUGUGUGGAGAUUUUGAUGAAAGACAAAUGGAGUGUUUGAUGAUUGUUGGGUUGUGGUGUGCUCACCCAGACUAUAGUUUCAGACUACCAAUACUACAAGCGCUUGAAGUGCUUAACUUCAAGAACCAAUUACCAACUCUCCCAGCAAUCAUGCCGAUGGUUCCUUCUUUUGCUCGUCCAGUUCUGGCAUUUACAAGUGACACCAUUAGUGGUUCUGAAACCUGGCAUACUAAGCCUUCAAACAUUGAGAGCACCAAUACCUCUAAGUUUGCUCUUCCUCUCCCAGUGCCUCCUUCAAAUCAAUUCUAGAACUUGAGAGAGCAUCAGAUGCAUCUCUCUUCGGCCGGGAGCGCAAGAUCAUCUUCUGAUGAGAAAUUACUUUGAUCGAUAUAAGCCUAGUGUAAUGAUCGAUAG
Fragaria vesca subsp. vesca is the source of this 1222-nucleotide RNA transcript. It is a transcript of the gene named L-type lectin-domain containing receptor kinase IX.1-like, with no coding region annotated. The record is from RefSeq and is a predicted model, not a curated record. NCBI's taxonomy places the organism in Eukaryota, Viridiplantae, Streptophyta, Magnoliopsida, Rosales, Rosaceae. The transcript has a single exon.